CAGGCCAUAGAGACACAUCUGUUUGUCAUCAGUGAUGCUCCCUGGGUGCAGACCUGAGUUGUGUGUGGAAACCGGCAGCUGCGCACACACGUAGCAGUUCACAGCAUGUCCCUCAUAAGCGGUUCUGUUCAUCAGUUUCCACCACAGAUUGGUACUGUAGUCAUGCGGCAGUCACAGCGCAGUAGAAGAUCCAUCUGGCAUAUGGAGUCCCCAUUGCUGCUCGGCGUACAGAGAUGUCAGAACCCCCAAACUAAAGGAGUGAGAAUCUUAGCGUUUCUUCACCGGGUUUGAGACGAACUACAACUAUAAAGUAGCUCCCCUUUGUACCCCGGAAGCUCUCAGAGCUCUCCUUCCUCUCUACUCCGGAUUAGGGAUCCAACACUCUCUGCAGCUUGCAGUGACUGAGAUGUAUCCAGCUGGGUCUUUCAGCAAUCUUUACAGCUGUUGGUGUGGUCAUCAGCACCUGGAACGGUCCUUCCCACCGUGGACUCGCCCAGUUCUUUCGUUUGAUGACCUUUAUGUAGACCCAGUCACCUUACUCGAUUGGAGUGGCCUCCUGUGCAGGAAGAGAAUCAAAAGGCAGUAACUUUGCUCUGGACACUUCCUUCAGUUUAAGAGUCCUGAUCAUAUAAUCUGCUAAUGUCUGUUCUUCAUCAGCUUUUUGUAUUCUGGAGCAAACAGAGGCAAUCUGUAAGCUCUCCCAUGAAUUAUUUCAAAAGGUGUUAGACCAUCAGCUGUCGGGGUGAUUCUCAUAUAGAGCUUCACUAAGUCUAAGCAUUCUGGCCAGGGCCGGCCAGUAUCUGCCAUGCAUUUUCUUAAUCUGCUUUUCACGGUACCAUUUGUUCUUUCCACCAGCCCUGCACUCUGUGGGUGAUAGGCACGGUGAUUCUUUAAUGUCAUUCCCAAGUGUGUAGCUAUGUUUUGUAUCACUUGGUUUACAAAAUGUGGUCCAUUGUCACUAUAAACAGUCUGGAAAACCAUGUGUUGGGAUAAUAGUUUUACAAAUAGCCUUAGCUACCGUCAAAGCAUCUGCAUGCUUUGCUGGAACUAUUUCAACCCAUUU
Poecilia latipinna (sailfin molly) is the source of this 1063-nucleotide long non-coding RNA. RefSeq lists it as uncharacterized. The transcript has 2 exons. NCBI's taxonomy places the organism in Eukaryota, Metazoa, Chordata, Actinopteri, Cyprinodontiformes, Poeciliidae. The record is from RefSeq and is a predicted model, not a curated record.